AGACGUAGGGCGCAAGCGUUGUCCGGAUUUAUUGGGCGUAAAGAGCUCGUAGGCGGCCUGUCGCGUCAACCGUGAAAUCCCGCGGCUUAACUGUGGGCGUGCGGUUGAUACGGGUGGGCUGGAGUUCGGUAGGGGAGACUGGAAUUCCUGGUGUAGCGGUGAAAUGCGCAGAUAUCAGGAGGAACACCGGUGGCGAAGGCGGGUCUCUGGGCCGAUACUGACGCUGAGGAGCGAAAGCGUGGGGAGCGAACAGGAUUAGAUACCCUGGUAGUCCACGCUGUAAACGUUGGGCGCUAGGUGUGGGGGGCCUUCCCGGUUUCCUGUGCCGUAGCUAACGCAUUAAGCGCCCUGCCUGGGGAGUACGGCCGCAAGGCUAAA
Molecule: ribosomal RNA, 378 nt
Filed under: uncultured bacterium
Lineage: Bacteria
Description: bacterial SSU rRNA
Rfam family: Bacterial small subunit ribosomal RNA
Source: RNAcentral